AGUAACCCGUUCGAAAGAACGGACUAAUAACCCAAACUGAUAUUCAUUGAUGACAUCUGAUUUGAAUUAAAGAUUUAUCGGUAUAGGAUGGGGAUGCGUCUGAUUAGCUUGUUGGUGAGGUAACGGCUCACCAAGGCCACGAUCAGUAGGGGUUCUGAGAGGAAGGUCCCCCACAUUGGAACUGAGACACGGUCCAAACUCCUACGGGAGGCAGCAGCC
RNAcentral lists this ribosomal RNA (219 nucleotides) under uncultured Prevotella sp. Its description in RNAcentral is "partial 16S ribosomal RNA". It matches the Rfam family "Bacterial small subunit ribosomal RNA", at positions 141 to 355 of the family's 1533-position model. Lineage: Bacteria; Pseudomonadati; Bacteroidota; Bacteroidia; Bacteroidales; Prevotellaceae. The record is from RNAcentral.